UACGGGGGGGGCAAGCGUUGUUCGGAAUUACUGGGCGUAAAGGGCUCGUAGGUGGCCAACUAAGUCAGACGUGAAAUCCCUCGGCUUAACCGGGGAACUGCGUCUGAUACUGGAUGGCUUGAGUUUGGGAGAGGGAUGCGGAAUUCCAGGUGUAGCGGUGAAAUGCGUAGAUAUCGUAAGGAAGACCAGUGGCGAAGGCGGGUCUCUGGACAGUUCCUGACGCUGAGGCACGAAGGUCAGGGGAGCAAACGGG
RNAcentral lists this ribosomal RNA (253 nucleotides) under uncultured bacterium. Its description in RNAcentral is "partial 16S ribosomal RNA". It matches the Rfam family "Bacterial small subunit ribosomal RNA", at positions 524 to 776 of the family's 1533-position model. The record is from RNAcentral.